UUAACUCAAACUUGUAUGGAGUUGGAACGUUUGCCGCUAGGGGCGUUGUUUCAACUGCAUACAAAUUUGAGUUA
This 74-nucleotide microRNA precursor is filed under the name Bombyx mori (domestic silkworm). RNAcentral describes it as "mir-2807 microRNA precursor family". It matches the Rfam family "mir-2807 microRNA precursor family". The record is from Rfam by way of RNAcentral. Lineage: Eukaryota; Metazoa; Arthropoda; Insecta; Lepidoptera; Bombycidae.